CCUACGGGAGGCAGCAGUAAGGAAUAUUGGUCAAUGGACGCAAGUCUGAACCAGCCAUGCCGCGUGAAGGAUGAAGGCCCUCUGGGUUGUAAACUUCUUUUAUAGGGGACGAAAAAAGGGAAUUCUUUCUCACUUGACGGUACCCUAGGAAUAAGCACCGGCUAACUCCGUGCCAGCAGCCGCGGUAAUACGGAGGGUGCAAGCGUUAUCCGGAUUUACUGGGUUUAAAGGGUGCGUAGGUGGGUAAGUAAGUCAGCGGUGAAAUCUACGAGCUUAACUCGUAAAUUGCCUUUGAUACUAUUUAUCUUGAAUUAUCUGGAGGUAAGCGGAAUAUGUCAUGUAGCGGUGAAAUGCUUAGAUAUGACAUAGAACACCAAUUGCGAAGGCAGCUUGCUACGGAUAUAUUGACACUGGGGCACGAAAGCGUGGGGAUCAAACAGGAUUAGAUACCCUGGUAGUCCACGCCCUAAACGAUGGAUACUCGACAUCAGCGAUACACUGUUGGUGUCUGAGCGAAAGCAUUAAGUAUCCCACCUGGGAAGUACGAUCGCAAGAUUGGAACUCAAAUGAAAUUGACGG
This 579-nucleotide ribosomal RNA is filed under the name uncultured bacterium. Its description in RNAcentral is "bacterial SSU rRNA". It matches the Rfam family "Bacterial small subunit ribosomal RNA", at positions 338 to 916 of the family's 1533-position model. The record is from RNAcentral.